RNAcentral lists this transfer RNA (69 nucleotides) under Pithecopus palliatus (jaguar leaf frog). RNAcentral's name for it is "tRNA-Val". It matches the Rfam family "tRNA". Rfam says of the family: Transfer RNA (tRNA) molecules are approximately 80 nucleotides in length. Their secondary structure includes four short double-helical elements and three loops (D, anti-codon, and T loops). Lineage: Eukaryota; Metazoa; Chordata; Amphibia; Anura; Hylidae. The record is from RNAcentral.
CAAACUGAGCUUAAUCAAAGCAUUUCGCUUACACCGAAAUUAUGUCUGUUAAACUCGGACCAUUUUGAG